RNAcentral lists this ribosomal RNA (749 nucleotides) under Schaalia funkei. RNAcentral describes it as "bacterial SSU rRNA". It matches the Rfam family "Bacterial small subunit ribosomal RNA", at positions 52 to 784 of the family's 1533-position model. Lineage: Bacteria; Bacillati; Actinomycetota; Actinomycetes; Actinomycetales; Actinomycetaceae. The record is from RNAcentral.
CACAUGCAAGUCGAACGGACUGGCCUUGAGCUUGCUUGGGGUUGGUGAGUGGCGAACGGGUGAGUAACACGUGAGUAACCUGCCCUCUUCUUUGGGAUAACGGUCGGAAACGGCUGCUAAUACUGGAUAUUCACUCAUUGGCGCAUGUUGGUGGGUGGAAAGAUGCACUUUUGGUGUUUUUGGUGGGGGAUGGGCUCGCGGCCUAUCAGCUUGUUGGUGGGGUGAUGGCCUACCAAGGCUUUGACGGGUAACCGGCCUGAGAGGGUGACCGGUCACAUUGGGACUGAGAUACGGCCCAGACUCCUACGGGAGGCAGCAGUGGGGAAUUUUGCACAAUGGGCGCAAGCCUGAUGCAGCGACGCCGCGUGAGGGAUGGAGGCCUUCGGGUUGUGAACCUCUUUCGCUCAUGGUCAAGCCGCGACUUUGGGUUGUGGUGAGGGUAGUGGGUAAAGAAGCGCCGGCUAACUACGUGCCAGCAGCCGCGGUAAUACGUAGGGCGCGAGCGUUGUCCGGAAUUAUUGGGCGUAAAGGGCUUGUAGGCGGUUGGUCGCGUCUGCCGUGAAAUCCUCUGGCUUAACUGGGGGCGUGCGGUGGGUACGGGUCGACUUGAGUGCGGUAGGGGAGACUGGAAUUCCUGGUGUAGCGGUGGAAUGCGCAGAUAUCAGGAGGAACACCGGUGGCGAAGGCGGGUCUCUGGGCCGUUACUGACGCUGAGGAGCGAAAGCGUGGGGAGCGAACAGGAUUAGAUA